RNAcentral lists this ribosomal RNA (253 nucleotides) under uncultured bacterium. Its description in RNAcentral is "partial 16S ribosomal RNA". It matches the Rfam family "Bacterial small subunit ribosomal RNA", at positions 524 to 776 of the family's 1533-position model. The record is from RNAcentral.
UACGAAGGGUGCAAGCGUUACUCGGAAUUACUGGGCGUAAAGCGUGCGUAGGUGGUUCGUUAAGUCUGAUGUGAAAGCCCUGGGCUCAACCUGGGAAUGGCAUUGGAUACUGGCGACCUAGAGUGCGGUAGAGGGGUGUGGAAUUCCCGGUGUAGCAGUGAAAUGCGUAGAUAUCGGGAGGAACAUCUGUGGCGAAGGCGACACCCUGGACCAGCACUGACACUGAGGCACGAAGGCCAGGGGAGCAAACGGG